Molecule: ribosomal RNA, 402 nt
Filed under: uncultured Reyranella sp.
Lineage: Bacteria; Pseudomonadati; Pseudomonadota; Alphaproteobacteria; Hyphomicrobiales; Reyranellaceae
Description: bacterial SSU rRNA
Rfam family: Bacterial small subunit ribosomal RNA
Source: RNAcentral
UGGGGAAUAUUGGACAAUGGGGGCAACCCUGAUCCAGCCAUGCCGCGUGAGUGAUGAAGGCCUUCGGGUUGUAAAGCUCUUUUGGCGGGGACGAUGAUGACGGUACCCGCAGAAUAAGCCCCGGCUAACUUCGUGCCAGCAGCCGCGGUAAGACGAAGGGGGCUAGCGUUGUUCGGAAUUACUGGGCGUAAAGCGCGUGUAGGCGGUUGUCCAAGUUGGAUGUGAAAGCCUUGAGCUUAACUCAAGAAAUGCAUUCAGGACUGGGUGACUAGAGGACCGGAGAGGAUAGUGGAAUUCCCAGUGUAGUGGUGAAAUACGUAGAGAUUGGGAAGAACACCAGUGGCGAAGGCGGCUAUCUGGACGGUUUCUGACGCUAAGACGCGAAAGCGUGGGGAGCAAACA